UCGAGAAUCUUCGGCAAUGGGCGCAAGCCUGACCGAGCGACGCCGCGUGGGGGACGAAGGCCCUCGGGUUGUAAACCCCUGUCGGGGGGGAACAAGGGUGCGCGAAGAGCGUACCUCGAGUGAUCCCCGGAGGAAGCACGGGCUAAGUUCGUGCCAGCAGCCGCGGUAAGACGAACCGUGCGAACGUUAUUCGGAAUCACUGGGCUUAAAGCGCGUGUAGGCGGGCCAGCACGUCGGUCGCUGAAAGCCCCCGGCUCAACCGGGGAACGGGCGCCGAUACGACUGGCCUGGAGGCGGGUAGGGGGAGCCGGAACUGCCGGUGGAGCGGUGAAAUGCGUUGAGAUCGGCAGGAACGCCCGUGGCGAAAGCGGGCUCCUGGACCUCGCCUGACGCUGAGACGCGAAAGCCAGGGGAGCGAACGG
RNAcentral lists this ribosomal RNA (422 nucleotides) under uncultured bacterium. RNAcentral's name for it is "bacterial SSU rRNA". It matches the Rfam family "Bacterial small subunit ribosomal RNA", at positions 355 to 775 of the family's 1533-position model. The record is from RNAcentral.